RNAcentral lists this ribosomal RNA (301 nucleotides) under uncultured bacterium. Its description in RNAcentral is "partial 16S ribosomal RNA". It matches the Rfam family "Bacterial small subunit ribosomal RNA", at positions 509 to 809 of the family's 1533-position model. The record is from RNAcentral.
CAGUCGCCGCGGGAAUACAGAGGGUGCGAGCGUUAAUCGGAUUUACUGGGCGUAAAGCGUGCGUAGGCGGCUUUUUAAGUCGGAUGUGAAAUCCCUGAGCUUAACUUAGGAAUUGCAUUCGAUACUGGGAAGCUAGAGUAUGGGAGAGGAUGGUAGAAUUCCAGGUGUAGCGGUGAAAUGCGUAGAGAUCUGGAGGAAUACCGAUGGCGAAGGCAGCCAUCUGGCCUAAUACUGACGCUGAGGUACGAAAGCAUGGGGAGCAAACAGGAUUAGAUACCCGAGUAGUCCUUGUCUCUUAUAA